This 366-nucleotide precursor RNA is filed under the name Dimocarpus longan. Its description in RNAcentral is "precursor microRNA 398b". The stretch from base 18 to 118 matches the Rfam family "MIR398 microRNA precursor family". The record is from RNAcentral. Lineage: Eukaryota; Viridiplantae; Streptophyta; Magnoliopsida; Sapindales; Sapindaceae.
AAUGCAAAACGAGGUAGAGAAAUCCUACAGGAGCGACCUGAGAUCACAUGUACCGGCCAGUGGCCUUGCCUCCAUUUGAGUCUCUCAUGUGUUCUCAGGUCGCCCCUGCGGGGCUUUUCUUUACCGUAUCAUGAUUCUCUGAUAUUGCAACCUUAACUUCCAGGGUGGUAGCACAGAAAACUUUCCUGUUCAAAUGGGAUGGCGCAGUGGUAGCAAUCAUACCUAUCUCCACUCCAAGUGGCAAGUUGAAGUGUAAUAAUGUCUCACUAUUUUUGUGUAAAAGAUUUGGGUAAUUCUCAUCUAAGCUGAUCUCAGUAGUUAUUUAACAAAAAAUCAGUUAGUUACAAAAAAAAAAAAAAAAAAAAA